This 498-nucleotide ribosomal RNA is filed under the name Candidatus Liberibacter asiaticus. RNAcentral describes it as "partial 16S ribosomal RNA". It matches the Rfam family "Bacterial small subunit ribosomal RNA", at positions 651 to 1151 of the family's 1533-position model. Lineage: Bacteria; Pseudomonadati; Pseudomonadota; Alphaproteobacteria; Hyphomicrobiales; Rhizobiaceae. The record is from RNAcentral.
GGAGAGGUGAGUGGAAUUCCGAGUGUAGAGGUGAAAUUCGUNGAUAUUCGGAGGAACNCCGGUGGCGAAGGCGGCUCACUGGCCUGAUACUGACGCUGAGGCGCGAAAGCGUGGGGAGCAACAGGAUUAGAUACCCUGGUAGUNCACGNCGNAGACGANGAGUGCUAGCUGUUGGGUGGUUUACCAUUCNGUGGCGCAGCUAACGCAUUAAGCACUCCGCCUGGGGAGNACGGUCGCAAGAUUAAAACUNAAAGGAAUUGACGGGGGCCCGCACAAGCGGUGGAGCAUGUGGUUUAAUUCGAUGCAACGCGCAGAACCUUACCAGCCCUUGACAUGUAUAGGACGAUAUCANAGANGGUAUUUUCUUUNCNGAGACCUUUACCNNGUGCUGCANGGCUGUCGNCAGCUCGUGUCGUGNGANGUUGGGUNAAGUCCCGCAACNAGCGCAACCCCUGCCUCUANUUGCCAUCAAGUUUAGGUUUUUACCUAGAUGUUGGG